AACGAACGCUGGCGGCAUGCCUAACACAUGCAAGUCGAACGGGAUCCAGGCUUCGGCCAGGUGAGAGUGGCGGACGGGUGAGUAACACGUGGGAACCUGCCUUUUGGUUCGGGAUAACCGCGGGAAACUGCGGCUAAAUACCGGGUGCUCCCGAGAGGGGAAAGAUUUAUCGCCAGAAGAGGGGCCCGCGUCCGAUUAGGUAGUUGGUGAGGUAAUGGCUCACCAAGCCGACGAUCGGUAGCUGGUCUGAGAGGAUGAUCAGCCACACUGGGACUGAGAUACGGCCCAGACUCCUACGGGAGGCAGCAGUGGGGAAUAUUGGACAAU
This 327-nucleotide ribosomal RNA is filed under the name uncultured bacterium. RNAcentral describes it as "bacterial SSU rRNA". It matches the Rfam family "Bacterial small subunit ribosomal RNA", at positions 29 to 372 of the family's 1533-position model. The record is from RNAcentral.